UCUUAAUGGCCUAACCCUAUUCCAUAGCCGACAUCCAAAACCUACAUCAAAACAAUUCAACAAACAUCAGGAUAUAUAUGUUCCAUCAUCAUGUUAUAGCAACAAGAGCAGCUUAAAAAGGAAACUCAGUCUACCACUGGUUAUUCGAUCUUCAUAAGAAAACGAGGCUUCAACUCAAGUUGUACGGCCAGAAAGAGCUCGUUCCAUUUGAUACUUUCCCUUACAGAUUCCCAGUUCCACCUAAAAUGCCAAGACACAUGUAAAAUUACAUUUAGCCAUGUUCUAUUACAUAUUUUCAGAUAUUUUUUGAGACAGAAUGAGUACUAAAUAAUUGUAACUCCGGAGAUUUUACAUCUUUUCAGAAUCACCCACAUAAGCAUGCUAACCUUCCAUUGACCCAAUAAUUCCAUGGUGCACAAAAUAAGAAACAUCUACAGUUUCUUAGUCUUAAGGUCUGACAACUAAUAUCAGUUUGGUGACCAUAGUGUCACCAAACAUGCACAAAUGUUUAACAUGGAAAAAAUUAAUGUAGACAUCACUAUUGAAAAGUUUAAAAAAUGUGAUUAGCACUAACCAUUAUCACAUUCUUUGAAAAUUACACAAAUACCACAGAAAAUAACAUAUUGUCUGCAAUAAUAUAAGCACUCAAACAUGGAUUAUUUUGUUCUUCAUCCAAAAGAGAGGUUCUUUAUGGUAGGAUUUUAGAAUAGAAACAAGAGUAUGUGGCGGUCAUGCUUCCUAUUUUACAUAGCAUACACCAAAUAUUCAAAAUGGUAAAUUAGUUUUCAUGCAAUAGGAUAGUGUGAGUAAGAGUGGAAAUAGAAGGGCACCACUUUUGUCAGUUUAAUGCCAUAUAUAUGUGGAGAAUGCUUCCCAUAUGUGGUGCACAAGAACAUCUACACUUUCAUGUUUUAUCGUAACCUAGCUCCACAUGUCGUUCCUUGCAGCUAUCUUCCACACGACUGUUCUGUUCCAAUUCUUCAAUGGCACAUCCACCAUUAAUGCUCAAGAAACUGAAGGAUUUACAACAGCGGAUGGCAUUGAGAGGUGAGUAGUCAUCUCUCAUCUGCACUAUAAAAACCUGCCUCAACUCUGCCUUCUCCACAGUUGUGCGCUCCUUCCUGAAUCACCAUCAUUAGUGCUGUCAGCCUCAUACUAUGCUCCCACAUGCUCUAAAAAGACCUUGCAGUAACCGCAAUAUAGACUUCUGGCCUUUUAGCAUUGUCGUUGCUGCAACAUCUGCUACAUGGUGUUGCCAUCAAAAGUUAUAGCGGUGAAUCCAAUGCUUGAGUCUCACACCGGCAGACCAUGUUGAAGGGCACCCAUCAGACUAACACUCACCUCUAUUUGGGUGC
Molecule: long non-coding RNA, 1355 nt
Filed under: Hordeum vulgare
Lineage: Eukaryota; Viridiplantae; Streptophyta; Magnoliopsida; Poales; Poaceae
Description: long non-coding RNA (HVUL_LNC018148)
Source: RNAcentral